UGGGGAAUAUUGCGCAAUGGGCGAAAGCCUGACGCAGCGACGCCGCGUGGGGGAUGACGGCCUUCGGGUUGUAAACCUCUUUCAGCAGGGACGAAGCGCAAGUGACGGUACCUGCAGAAGAAGCACCGGCCAACUACGUGCCAGCAGCCGCGGUAAUACGUAGGGUGCAAGCGUUGUCCGGAAUUAUUGGGCGUAAAGAGCUCGUAGGCGGUUCGUCGCGUCGGCUGUGAAAUCCCGAGGCUCAACCUCGGGUCUGCAGUCGAUACGGGCGGACUGGAGUUCGGCAGGGGAGACUGGAAUUCCUGGUGUAGCGGUGAAAUGCGCAGAUAUCAGGAGGAACACCGGUGGCGAAGGCGGGUCUCUGGGCCGAUACUGACGCUGAGGAGCGAAAGCGUGGGGAGCGAACA
Molecule: ribosomal RNA, 407 nt
Filed under: uncultured Geodermatophilus sp.
Lineage: Bacteria; Bacillati; Actinomycetota; Actinomycetes; Geodermatophilales; Geodermatophilaceae
Also listed under: 2 other names
Description: bacterial SSU rRNA
Rfam family: Bacterial small subunit ribosomal RNA
Source: RNAcentral